Molecule: unclassified non-coding RNA, 324 nt
Filed under: Hevea brasiliensis (rubber tree)
Lineage: Eukaryota; Viridiplantae; Streptophyta; Magnoliopsida; Malpighiales; Euphorbiaceae
Source: RNAcentral
CUCUCUCUCUCUCUCUCUCUCUCUCUCGCAAUGCCUCAUUGAUGACCUGAAGCAAAGGUCAAGCUCGCAAAAACAAUGGCUGCAGGAAUAGCAUCAGUGUUCAAUAAGUUCCUCUCUAUAUUUAUCCUCCUUCUCCACCUUGGUUGCUUCAUUUUCGCAGCCAAAGAUCAUCAACCACCGACCAAGAAACGCAAAGUCUCCUCCACAUCUUCUUCUUCAACUCGCCUAAAGCCUCACAGAGCUCUCUCUUCGUCCUGGACCUAUCUCAAACGCAUCUUCUCCUCAAAGACCUACAAAACCAGCAGCUCACAGGGUCAAUCUCCA